UGAGUGGCUGGCACGGGGCGUAUAUUUUGUCUUUAGUAUGAAUGGAUGUUGUCGUCGGAUUGAAAUUCUGCUGUCCACUUUGUAAUCUUGGUGGAGUGCUCUAAAUAGCCACAGCUGUAUGGCAACAUUUCCUGUAGCAGCUCUUCUGUUCUAGAGGGCCACGAUGACAAUAAUUGUGGAUGCACUCUGGGCUGUAUGGAGCAUUGGGGCUUCGAUCUAUGACUACUUCCAAACCAGUGCUAUAGAAGAGCGUAUCCUUGCCCUUGAGAGUGUGCUGACCAUCCACCAAUGUGUCAUUGGAGUACUGUCAGCUGGUCUGAUCAUCCUAGUCACAUACAUCUUCUUGAGAAAGCACUGACUGCCACAGGAGUGACAAGGAUGCCAUACUGUAGCUUACAAAAAAAAAAGACUGUUGUGCCUUGAAGAUGCUAACACUUUCUAUGCUGAACACCCUCAUUGGAACUGUCCCUUGAUUUAUUUCAAAAUGUUUUUCAUUCAGCAUAUGUUCAGGGAUAGGAGACAAAUAGCUGACUAUUUAUGUUUAGGUGACGCUUACUACAGCUGUGCGUGUGUUACAGGGACCAAUCUGGCCGUUUUCAUUAUUGAAGAUAGUUUAAAAAAUUGGGCCAGGGAAAUUAAUUGGGAAGGAUCAUGAAUGCAGGGAUAGACCCUUUCAACAAUAAAAACAAAAACAAUGCUUGAACGUUCUAUUUGGUUCCCAAUCUACUUCCUCUGCAUUAAGAUAACAUAUGGAAUGUUAAAACGGAAGCCUUGUGGGGCCAACUAUGAUGCUGAUAAUGGAACUCUCUUGAAAGGGUCUAUAACAUUUUUCCUGAUAAGGGCAAGGUCAGGCCUUGUAUUUAAAGAAUUGCUGCUCUUAUUUGGAAUUGAAACACUGUGUUUUUAAUAUGGAUUGUGAAAAUGUUUUAAGUAAGUAGAGCUAGGGUUCCCAUGGCAAUGGAAACCCUGGAAAAGUCAUGGAAUAGUAAAAACACAUUUCCAGACCUGGAUAAAUCAUGUAAUUCGGGAAGUUCAUUGAACGUUUUGGAAAAGUCAUGAAGUUUCAUUGUCCUACAGGCUACCAGGGACCAUUGAGUAGUACGGUUCAGUUUGGUACAGUACAGUUUGGAAUGGUUAACCCUGACCUGGCUUGUGCCUCGACUGCCAACAGCCUUUAGGUAGGUAGGCGGGGUGAAGACUGGAUACCGAUAGCCGCAUCAGCCAGAUAAGUGGAGUUGAUAAGGAGCUGGGACUGAGAUGGACAACUUUGUAUUUUUUUUUGCCCAAUCAACGGACUAUUGAUCUACGGCAGUGGUUCUCAAACUGUGGUACGGGUACCACUGGUGGUACGCAAACUCUCACUAGUGAUACUCAGGGAGUCUCCAAGAUGUCUUUUCAUAAAGACUUGACAACGCAAAACAGUAUGUACAAUGUAAAAUAUGUAGCUGAAUUGGCCUAUAGGCACCUGUAUUUUAAUGCCGGUCAUAAUAGUGGUACUUGGAGAGCCAAUUGUUUUUGUGGGUGGUACUCAUUGUAAAAAGUUUGAGAACCACUGAUCUACGCUAUUGAUCAGUUGUUUUGGUACCAUUCACAAAUUCUGACGGAAUGGAAAUGGAAACACAGAUAAUUGUGUACUGUACUGUACCAAACUGAACCAUACCGCUCAGUGGAGACAUGCCAUUAUGUAGCGUAUACCAUGUCACAGAGCUUAAUUGCUUCCUUCAUAGAUAAAGAAUGGUUGGGGAGAAAACACGUUAUCCAAUCUCGUUGUUUAAGUCACAUUUCAUCAUUAGCCCCAACAUGUGACGUAAAGUAAGCCAUACCUGUAGGCCAUGAAAAGUCAUGAAAAUUUCACUCAAAGUUCACUCAAAUUUCACUGAAAAGUCAUGGAAAGGUUUCCAAAUUUUGUCAGUGAAGACCCUGUAGAGCCUUGUAAAUCAGUAGGCUAUGAUUUCAAUACCUCUUGUCUCAACCCCCUAACUUACUGAUGCUACUGUCUCUGAACUUACAACAUUUUAUUCUCAUUUACUGAAGCCAUUUACAUCAGUGAUUUUGUGUCAGUUAUGUAUUUCUUUGUCAUAAAUAUAAAUGUGCUGAAAUGUCAUAUCAUUUGCUACUACUUGGAAGUUGGCUUACAUUAAAGGGAAUUUCAUGA
Molecule: long non-coding RNA, 2155 nt
Organism: Alosa sapidissima (American shad)
Lineage: Eukaryota; Metazoa; Chordata; Actinopteri; Clupeiformes; Clupeidae
Exons: 2
Source: RefSeq, a predicted model, not a curated record